UUCCUAUUUUAUAAUUUUUUAGUUCAAAAUUCAAUAGCUUUCUCAGAUUUUAGAUUUUCUAACAUGGAGAAAUCUAAAGAAAACAUAGGAACUUCAAGAAAUGUAGCGAAUGAAAAUAUGAAGUUAAAUUAAGGACUUUCAUUGAAUGGUGGAUCGCAAGGAUGUGUUGCUUCAAGUGUAGCUGAGGUUGAAAUCCAACAACCACCUCAAGGAAAAUAUUGGUAAAGAGAAGCUCAAAAACUCCGUGCUCAAUAAUAUGGCCAAUGUCUACACAAAAGGUGAAGGACCAAAAAGAAAAAAGACUGAAGGACUUUUAUACUUGUGUAAGGAGAUAGAUGAAGUGAAGAUAGUUAGUCUUUGUCAUGGAAAUUUUCUAAAUGCAGAUGAAUUUGUCAAACAUGCUGGUGGAGGUGACAUAGUAAACCCUUUAGAACAUAUAUUUAUUGAAGGAAGACAAAUUAAGUAGCCCUAAUAUCAGUGUUAUUUGAUCCUUCAUUUUGUUGUUAUGCCGAAUAAUUCAAUGGCUAUUGCCCAAAAAGGCAUUAGCUUUUGUAUCGUUGUUAUUUCAUCUUUCAUUUUGUUGUGUACUGACUAAAGUUCCUCCCAUCAAAGCUAUAUUGAGGUUAAUUUGCAGUCA
Molecule: long non-coding RNA, 637 nt
Organism: Solanum pennellii
Lineage: Eukaryota; Viridiplantae; Streptophyta; Magnoliopsida; Solanales; Solanaceae
Exons: 3
Source: RefSeq, a predicted model, not a curated record